GUGCGGAUGGAUGAAUGAAGGAGUAUGAUGUGCUUAAGAUCUGUGCGAGGCAUCAUUCAAUGGUUGAUGUCACGAAAGAAGAUCAAUUAUUUUUUUCCCCGAAUCUGAAAUAGGAAAGGAAAACAAGGGAACUAGAUGAGUUAGACAGACUAUGAGCCUUGUUUUUAUAAUUUUCAGUAAAAAAGAUUAUUGCCAGUAUUAACCUUGGAAUUUUUGGAUCCAAAACUUGCUAGCAAGGAAUAGUUGAAUAAUUAUUAAUUAAUUAAAAAUAUUUUUUUUCCUCCAAAACCUCCUCAAAUCUGCUAUAACAUAUUGUUUUAUAGGGACAUCCAAGAUCAAAGAUGGCAUUAUGCGUCCAACUUGACUUCUCUUAAUUUCUAAAAGUAUUAAUGCAAAUCCAUGUCUGAAAUUAGGGCAAAGCCCCAAC
RNAcentral lists this long non-coding RNA (427 nucleotides) under Elaeis guineensis (African oil palm). Its description in RNAcentral is "long non-coding RNA (EGUI_LNC008575)". The record is from RNAcentral. Lineage: Eukaryota; Viridiplantae; Streptophyta; Magnoliopsida; Arecales; Arecaceae.